Molecule: ribosomal RNA, 253 nt
Filed under: uncultured bacterium
Lineage: Bacteria
Description: partial 16S ribosomal RNA
Rfam family: Bacterial small subunit ribosomal RNA
Source: RNAcentral
UACGGGGGGGGCAAGCGUUGUUCGGAAUUACUGGGCGUAAAGCGUGCGUAGGUGGUUUUUUAAGUCCGUUGUGAAAGCCCUGGGCUCAACCUGGGAAUGGCAGUGGAUACUGGAAAGCUAGAGUGCGGUAGAGGGUAGUGGAAUUCCCGGUGUAGCAGUGAAAUGCGUAGAUAUCGUGAGGAACACCAGAGGCGAAGGCGGCUACCUGGACAAUCGCUGACGCUCAGGCACGAAAGCGUGGGGAGCAAAAGGG